UUUUUUUUAGCUUAAAUUUAGAGCAUUAGUUUGAAGGACUAAGGGUACUUAUAAAGUAGAAAAAU
Molecule: transfer RNA, 65 nt
Filed under: Thaparocleidus asoti
Lineage: Eukaryota; Metazoa; Platyhelminthes; Monogenea; Dactylogyridea; Ancylodiscoididae
Description: tRNA-Phe
Source: RNAcentral